Molecule: microRNA precursor, 80 nt
Filed under: Ursus americanus (American black bear)
Lineage: Eukaryota; Metazoa; Chordata; Mammalia; Carnivora; Ursidae
Also listed under: 2 other names
Source: RNAcentral
GGUGCCUGGGAAGAAGUUGCCCGUGUUAUUUUCGCUUGAUAUGUGCCGAAACAAACAUGGUGCACUUCUUCCUCGGUAUC